CGACUCUCUGGCAACGGAUAUCUCGGCUCUCGCAUCGAUGAAGAACGCAGCACAAUGCGAUACUUGGUGUGAAUUGCAGAAUCCCGUGAACCAUCGAGUUUUUGAACGCAAGUUGCGCCCGAAGCCAUUAUGCUGAGGGCACGUCUGCCUGGGCGUCACG
This 160-nucleotide ribosomal RNA is filed under the name Syringa tomentella subsp. yunnanensis. Its description in RNAcentral is "Syringa yunnanensis 5.8S ribosomal RNA". It matches the Rfam family "5.8S ribosomal RNA". Rfam says of the family: 5.8S ribosomal RNA (5.8S rRNA) is a component of the large subunit of the eukaryotic ribosome. Lineage: Eukaryota; Viridiplantae; Streptophyta; Magnoliopsida; Lamiales; Oleaceae. The record is from RNAcentral.